Molecule: transfer RNA, 76 nt
Filed under: Fusobacteriaceae bacterium
Lineage: Bacteria; Fusobacteriati; Fusobacteriota; Fusobacteriia; Fusobacteriales; Fusobacteriaceae
Also listed under: 1 other name
Description: tRNA-Asn
Rfam family: tRNA
About the family: Transfer RNA (tRNA) molecules are approximately 80 nucleotides in length. Their secondary structure includes four short double-helical elements and three loops (D, anti-codon, and T loops).
Source: RNAcentral
UCCCUGAUAGCUCAGUUGGUAGAGCAUACGGCUGUUAACCGUAGUGUCACAGGUUCGAGUCCUGUUCGGGGAGCCA